This 2449-nucleotide long non-coding RNA is filed under the name Sus scrofa (pig). RNAcentral's name for it is "lncRNA (ENSSSCG00045015403.1)". Lineage: Eukaryota; Metazoa; Chordata; Mammalia; Artiodactyla; Suidae. The record is from RNAcentral.
UGAAUGGUCUGGCCCAGAGCCAGGGAUCAUCACUAUGCUUUCCAGACCUGUUUUCCUUCCUGGACCUAUGCCAAAGGCUUAAACAUGUCUGUCUGUCUGUUUUAAGGACAUGGAGAUACAGGUCUUCUGCUCAGGCCGGUGUAAGGCUUACCAUCAUUUCCCAUGGGGCGGCUGUCUGGGCAGCGGAGACCAAGGUCUCUGUCCAGCCGUUAACGGAGGAAGUUGUUGGGAGGAAGGGCUCAGAGCCAGGAGGCAGAACUACACAGCAUUCCUAAUUUAGUUGCCAUUUAUCACUAAGAGAGAGAGGCCCUGGUUCCCAAACUGUGUGCCAGGGCACCCUGGAGCAGUGGAAGAAAUGUAUGGAGUAUUGUGGGAUUAUUUUCAUUUUUAAGGGAAACACUGCGAUAUUGGCUGGACACUGUGCAAAGGACUACUGUUCCGUUGUCUAGAUAUGUAAUCAACAGAUUGGUGAGGUAUUUCUUUUGGCCUAGGGGCACCAAGGGAAAAAAGCAGUAAGGGAACAAUGUAGGUCCUUUAGAGCCAGGGGUUUGAGGUGUGUGAGGAUAGAGGGGGAGCAGGAACGGGAGAAAGAAGAGAAGAAAGUGUGGAUUUGGACAUCUGGGGCUUGGGUGCGAAUGACUAACUUACUUACGAGGCUUCCUGGGUGGUUGGGAGGCCCUAAUCUCCACGGUGCUGGCUCACAACCAGAGAUUACGUCUUCCAUUUCCUCCCACGUGGGAGCCUGGCCCUCCUGCCCCUGGGUGGGCACAGGGCCCUGCACCCCCAGACCAGGUGUUUUACAUCUUUCUUCUCCCCCCAGGAUUCCUUCAUCCCCAAAACAUUUCUUGGCUACAGCUGCAUGAGGAGAUGGCAGUGAGAAGAACAGAUUAACAAAAACAAAGAAAACCCUGAUGUCUUGAAGCUUACAUUUUUCUGGAAAAAUGUCUAAUAAGAUAUUCUGGGUGCUUACUAUGAGCCAGGCAUUGUACUAAAAGCUUUUUGUCAAUUAGCUCAUUUAAUCCUGACAACACUCCUUCUGGAAGCAUAAUCCCUGCUGCCAUUUACAUGCGUCUGGUGUCAUGGUGAUGCUCCAACCACCUCGCUGCUCCUAGUUUUCGAUGGAAUCCUGGGCACCCAGGUGCCUGCUGAGCAAGGUGGCAUCAUUUAGAGUGUGAUGUGGCCCCAUUGGUCUGUCUACCCAUUUCACUACAGUGCUCUCCUGUGGUCCUGCGAGCUGCUCUGUAUGAUCUCACAGCAAACCACACACUUGACUUUGCCUAAAAACAGUUUGUCCUCAUCUCCACGUGUGAGAUUUACACUUCAGGUGUAACAGAAGCUACAUGAGCAAAAUGUUCAGCUUUACGAUGGCCACGUCCCCCUAGGCACAUGUUAAUGUGCCUUCUAGGACUUCCUAUAAAUACAACAUGGUGUAUUUAGGUGGAUGUCAACCUGACAGUGCCACCCAAGCCACUUCUGGAGUUCCCUGGUGGCCUAGCAGUUAAGGAUCUGGCAUUGUCAUUCCUGUGUGCAGGUUCGAUCCUUGGCCCAGGAACUUCCAUGUGUCAUGGGCAUGGUCAAAACAAAACAAACAAACAAAAAACCCAGACAAACACAAAUAAAGAUGUUGAACAAUUGAUGGUUGUAUCAAAUGACAUUUCCACGAAAUGAGGAAGUUCAUGCUGUUAUCUUCUUUCUUAGAAUAUUUUCCUUGUUCAUCACAGAAAGUAUAGAAAAUUAUAUACAAGUAGCUAUAAUCAGAUCAUCCAAAGAAAAUGAUUCUCUACUUUGUGGCAUAUUUUUCUCUUACUCUUUUUCCAGGGCACUGAGGAUCUUGGUUGGGCACAGUCACUGGGUGCCAAGGACACCUGAACACUGACAACAGACGCCAAAGGGGAGUCAGCCCCUCCUUAAGCAGAGUCUGCUGCCUCUUUGGUCCUACUGGGGUGGCUUUGAUUUCCCACGUGAACAUGUGCUCAUGACACAUCUGCAUGUCCAUCACAGACACAUGUGUCCUGAGAUGGUCGGAAAACACGGUUUUCUCUCGACUGUCAACAUUGUCAGGGACCUGCCCAAAAGUCUGCACACUGCUUGUAUCGUACAGGGGUCUUUGCCAGAUGCUUUGGGGGUUCCAGAAAGGAGCCAGAUAGUCCACGACCACAGGGAGUUCACAGCCCAGAGUGGGGUGGCAAUGGCUGAUGCAUCCUAAGGAACGAGCGGAGUCAUUUGGGAAGUUUUUUUUUUAAGAAAAACUGUGUGUGUGCAGAGUUCCUGUUGUGACACAGUGGUAAUGAACCCGACUAGUAACGAUAAGGACAUGGGUUCAAUCCUUGGCCUCACUCAGUGGGUUAAGGAUCAGGCGUUGCCAUGAGCUGUAGUGUAGGUCACAGAUGUGGCUUGGAUCUGGCGUUGCUGUGGUUGUGGUGUAGGCUGAUGGCUACAGCUCUGAUUC